Molecule: ribosomal RNA, 468 nt
Filed under: uncultured bacterium
Lineage: Bacteria
Description: bacterial SSU rRNA
Rfam family: Bacterial small subunit ribosomal RNA
Source: RNAcentral
AAUCAACGCUGGCGGCGUGCCUCAGACAUGCAAGUCGAACGAUUAAAGCUCUCUUCGGAGAGUGCAUAGAGUGGCGCACGGGUGAGUAACACGUAAGUAAUCUACCUUUGAGUGGGGAAUAACGUCCGGAAACGGACGCUAAUACCGCAUAAUGCAGCGGCAUCGCAAGAUGACAGUUGUUAAAGAUUUAUCGCUUGAAGAGGAGCUUGCGGCAGAUUAGCUAGUUGGUAAGGUAAUGGCUUACCAAGGCUACGAUCUGUAACCGGUCUAAGAGGACGGUCGGUCACACUGACACUGAAUAACGGGUCAGACUCCUACGGGAGGCAGCAGUCGGGAAUUUUGGGCAAUGGGCGAAAGCCUGACCCAGCAACGCCGCGUGAAGGAUGAAGUAUUUCGGUAUGUAAACUUCGAAAGAAUGGGAAGAAUAAAUGACGGUACCAUUUAUAAGGUCCGGCUAACUACGUGCCA